UGGGGAAUUUUGGACAAUGGGCGCAAGCCUGAUCCAGCCAUGCCGCGUGCGGGAAGAAGGCCUUCGGGUUGUAAACCGCUUUUGUCAGGGAAGAAAUCUUCUGAGUUAAUACCUCGGGAGGAUGACGGUACCUGAAGAAUAAGCACCGGCUAGCUACGUGCCAGCACGCGCGAUACGUAGGGUGCAAGCGUUAAUCGGAAUUACUGGGUGUAAAGCGUGCGCAGGCGGUUUUGUAAGACAGAGGUGAAAUCCCCGGGCUCAACCUGGGAACUGCCUUUGUGACUGCAAGGCUUGAGUGCGGCAGAGGGGGAUGGAAUUCCGCGUGUAGGCAGUGAAAUGCGUAGAUAUGCGGAGGAACACCGAUGGCGAAGGCAAUCCCCUGGGCCUGCACUGACGCUCAUGCACGAAAGCGUGGGGAGCAAACAGGAUUAGAUACCCUGGUAGUCCACGCCCUAAACGAUGUCAACUGGUUGUUGGGAAGGUUCCUUCUCAGUAACGUAGCUAACGCGUGAAGUUGACCGCCUGGGGAGUACGGCCGCAAGGUU
This 545-nucleotide ribosomal RNA is filed under the name uncultured bacterium. RNAcentral's name for it is "partial 16S ribosomal RNA". It matches the Rfam family "Bacterial small subunit ribosomal RNA", at positions 355 to 895 of the family's 1533-position model. The record is from RNAcentral.